Molecule: ribosomal RNA, 433 nt
Filed under: uncultured bacterium
Lineage: Bacteria
Description: partial 16S ribosomal RNA
Rfam family: Bacterial small subunit ribosomal RNA
Source: RNAcentral
AACGAACGCUGGCGGCAUGCCUAACACAUGCAAGUCGAACGAGACCUUCGGGUCUAGUGGCGCCCGGGUGCGUAACGCGUGGGAACCUGCCCUUAGGUUCGGAAUAACUCCCCGUAAGGGGUGCUAAUACCGGAUAAUGUCUUCGGACCAAAGAUUUAUGGCCUUUGGAUGGGCCCGCGUUGGUUUAGCUAGUUGGUAGGGUAAAAGCCUACCAAGGCGACGAUCCAUAGCUGGUCUGAGAGGAUGAUCAGCCACACUGGGACUGAGACGCGGCCCAGACUCCUACGGGAGGCAGCAGUGGGGAAUAUUGGACAAUGGGCGAAAGCCUGAUCCAGCAAUGCCGCGUGAGUGAUGAAGGCCUUAGGGUUGUAAAGCUCUUUUACCCGGGAUGAUAAUGACAGUACCGGGAGAAUAAGCUCCGGCUAACUCCGUG